UGGGGAAUAUUGCACAAUGGAGGGAACUCUGAUGCAGCGACGCCGCGUGAACGAAGAAGGCUUUCGAGUCGUAAAGUUCUUUUAUAUGGGAAGAUAAUGACGGUACCAUAAGAAAAAGCCCCGGCUAACUACGUGCCAGCAGCCGCGGUAAUACGUAGGGGGCUAGCGUUGUCCGGAAUCACUGGGCGUAAAGGGUUCGCAGGCGGAAUGCAAGUCAGGUGUAAAAGGCAGUAGCUUAACUACUGUAAGCAUUUGAAACUGCAUAUCUUGAGAAGAGUAGAGGUAAGUGGAAUUUUUAGUGUAGCGGUGAAAUGCGUAGAUAUUAAAAAGAAUACCGGUGGCGAAGGCGACUUACUGGGCUCAUUCUGACGCUGAGGAACGAAAGCGUGGGUAGCAAACAGG
This 402-nucleotide ribosomal RNA is filed under the name Fusobacteriota bacterium. RNAcentral describes it as "Fusobacteria bacterium partial 16S ribosomal RNA". It matches the Rfam family "Bacterial small subunit ribosomal RNA", at positions 355 to 776 of the family's 1533-position model. Lineage: Bacteria; Fusobacteriati; Fusobacteriota. The record is from RNAcentral.